CUAGAACAUCUCCUGUGAGGAGUGUCUGAGAGAACUGGGAUGGUUCAUCCUGAAGAAGACUCAGAAGUGAUCUCAUCAAUCUGUAUAAAUACCUGAAGGGAGGGAGUGGAGGAGAGGGAGAAAAGCACUUCUCAGCAGUGCCCACUGGUAGGACAACAGUGCACAAAAAUAAAAUCUCCUUGCCAAAGGACUUUCUCUGUUGCAUCCCAUACUCAUAUUUUUGAACCCUGUUCCCACAGGCUGCUUUUAAUAUCCUCUAAUUCUUGUAUUGGAGGACACAAUCAACAGUCAUGAGCCAUUUGUGUUGCUCAUCCUCUUGUAGUAAUGUCUGUUAUUUCCUUUUCCAUGAUCUCUUCUGUUGGCUGAAGUAUCAUAGAAUGGCCUGGCUGUGAAGGGACCUUAAAGAUCAUCUGGUUCCACCCCUCACCAUGGGCAGGGAUACUUGCCUGUAGAACAGGUUGCUUAAAGCCCUGUUAUUUUGUGUAUGAAGCUUCCAUGUACUUGCUGCCCUUCUCUGAUCCUUUCCCACUUCUGCUCUAUCCUAUCUGAGAUCAGAAAACUAGGACUACCCAUGUAAUUUAAGGCAGCAGCAAAUCAGAGAUUUAAACAGUACCACAACCUGCCUUUUUUUUCUUUCUUUAGUUAUAUCCCAAUAUUAGAUGUGCUUUCUUGUCUUGUUCUGAAUGUUUAAACUGAUGGUUUCCAGGACCUAUCAGAGUUGUGUGAUCUCAUUUAUGAGUAACUGCACAAAUUUACUUUCUGACUCAUAAUGUGGUUCUUGUACAAGGAUAUUUUAAUGUAAUAGCUAAAUCUGUGGCUGUUAAGCAGGAGCUACUUCCAAUCAGUAGGAUGAGAUUUUGCUAAAACAAAGGCUAUGUGGAUCAGAUAUAAAAAGUAGUAGAUUGUGGGGCAAUGCACAAGAAGGCAAAAAGAAGGUACUGCAUUGAUCAGUGUGUUUGUGUGGAUACACCAUUACUGGAGGACAGCAACUGGCCUAGUCUGACCCUUUUGUGUAUUUGUGCUCACCUGGGCUAUCAUUUACCUUUUCUCAUCACAGCUACAGAGCAGUGGUCCUGGUAAAACGGUGCUUAAACUCAACCUGAGGUACUGUGCUGAAGCAGAGAGCCCAUGAAGUAUGCUCCGGAUACUGUUCAGCCCACUGCAGCCUUGGAAGAGACAGGGUAGAGGGGAAGCACUCCGAGCAUCUGGACAGGUGGGAAGUGGCAUUUCCUAUGGAGGCUCCUGCUUUGAGCUGGUUGAGAGCAACCGUGCUGAGAGUUUUGUGAAGUGAGAACCCCUGUGGUUCGAGCCCUGUUGAGGAACAUCCCAAGUCCAAAGCAGGCAUUUCACUGCCCUGCCCUGGUGAGAUUAGCGUGCUGUUAUUCUCAGGCUUUUGGAUGAUCCUGAAGAAUGUCUGCUGGGCCUCUUGAGAGAACAGCUGUGCUUGUGCGACACUCCUUUGGACAACAAUACUCACUCAUUUUGUUCCCCAAACCUUUGCUUGGAAUCCAGCCCUUGAGACCAUUGUUGGUUCCAAUCCACACCAUGGCAGGAGGAUUUGAACCAGUGUGUAGGAAGAAGUUGAAGUGAAUGACUGUUCUGCAAUCACAGUCUGCUGCUUUCUGUGUGAGAGUUUUGUGGAUGUGGCCAUCUGAUAACAGCAUAGUGCUGAGAAAAGAGGUAUAACCUUGCUUUUGCACUCUUCCUCUUUCCAGCUCAGUUCUUUUCAUUUUCUUCAGCAACUGAGCAUUAUAGUCAAACUAAAAAGCGGUAUCUUGUCUUGCAAGAAAAAUUAACAUCUCCAACUGUUGUUCAAGUUGACGUUUUUUGAUCAGAGACCAGAAGCAAAGCCUGGCAUAACUGUAAGAGGAAGAAAUAUUUUGAAAUAUUCUACCAUCAUUUUUUGCCCCAUUUUCCUUUUACAUUUUUUUAAAAAAGCAGUUUUCUUGUUGUCUGGUACAGCUUUGUGCAUAA
This is a long non-coding RNA of Catharus ustulatus (Swainson's thrush), 1974 nucleotides long. RefSeq lists it as uncharacterized. The record is from RefSeq and is a predicted model, not a curated record. The transcript has 3 exons. NCBI's taxonomy places the organism in Eukaryota, Metazoa, Chordata, Aves, Passeriformes, Turdidae.